GACUCUCGGCAACGGAUAUCUCGGCUCUCGCAUCGAUGAAGAACGUAGCGAAAUGCGAUACUUGGUGUGAAUUGCAGAAUCCGUGAACCAUCGAGUCUUUGAACGCAAGUUGCGCCCGAAGCCGUUAGGCCGAGGCACGUCUGCCUGGGCGUCA
This 154-nucleotide ribosomal RNA is filed under the name Ipomoea nil (Japanese morning glory). RNAcentral describes it as "5.8S ribosomal RNA". It matches the Rfam family "5.8S ribosomal RNA". From Rfam's summary of the family: 5.8S ribosomal RNA (5.8S rRNA) is a component of the large subunit of the eukaryotic ribosome. The record is from Rfam by way of RNAcentral. Lineage: Eukaryota; Viridiplantae; Streptophyta; Magnoliopsida; Solanales; Convolvulaceae.